AACGAACGCUGGCGGCAUGCCUAACACAUGCAAGUCGAACGAGACCUUCGGGUCUAGUGGCGCACGGGUGCGUAACGCGUGGGAACCUGCCCUUAGGUUCGGAAUAACUCCCCGAAAGGGGUGCUAAUACCGGAUAAUGUCUUCGGACCAAAGAUUUAUCGCCUUUGGAUGGGCCCGCGUUGGAUUAGCUAGUUGGUAGGGUAAAAGCCUACCAAGGCGACGAUCCAUAGCUGGUCUGAGAGGAUGAUUAGCCACACUGGGACUGAGACACGGCCCAGACUCCUACGGGAGGCAGCAGUGGGGAAUAUUGGACAAUGGGCGAAAGCCUGAUCCAGCAAUGCCGCGUGAGUGAUGAAGGCCUUAGGGUUGUAAAGCUCUUUUACCCGGGAUGAUAAUGACAGUACCGGGAGAAUAAGCACCGGCUAACUCCGUG
RNAcentral lists this ribosomal RNA (433 nucleotides) under uncultured bacterium. Its description in RNAcentral is "partial 16S ribosomal RNA". It matches the Rfam family "Bacterial small subunit ribosomal RNA", at positions 29 to 507 of the family's 1533-position model. The record is from RNAcentral.